RNAcentral lists this long non-coding RNA (577 nucleotides) under Phoenix dactylifera (date palm). RNAcentral's name for it is "long non-coding RNA (PDAC_LNC000215)". Lineage: Eukaryota; Viridiplantae; Streptophyta; Magnoliopsida; Arecales; Arecaceae. The record is from RNAcentral.
UGCACUUCCAGCUGAAGGGAAAAGUGUAGAUCUCCUUCUCCUCUACGCAAGGACCUCGAUUUCCAAAAAGAAAAGGUAAAUAUCCAUCUCUAUCUAGUCUUUUGAUGACAUUAGGCUAUACAAAGGGUGGAUGUAGUCUAGAGGGGUCAGAUAAGGGUUGUAAAGAUGGUUAAAAGAGGAAGAAUCGGAUUUCGACAAAUUUUUCCGGCACUACGGAAAAACUGUGUCGAAGUCCCAACUUCGGCGAAUUAUUUAGGGGGUCAAACGGCCUCCGAUGAUGAUGCAUGUUUAUCUCUUUGGAAUCCCCUAUGAGUGUAGAAUGUUAGGUAAAAAUUUCAUCAAAUCUGAAGUCCUGAAAGUGGAUCAAAACCGGGAUGAAGUAACCCACUGUCAGUUCGGGUUACUGUUCAUCCGGGUGGAAAAUAGGGGAUUUCAUGCUAUAAUAGGGUAUUAAGCCUAGAUCAAGCUAAAAGGGACCUUGUACUCAUGCAAGAGAGUCCCUAAUACAUAUAAAUGAUGAGUUAAUUAAUAGAAAAAGAAAAAGAGAAAGAAAAGAAAAGAUUUAGGGAACAGGGGA